AUACGUAGGGGGCGAGCGUUGUCCGGAAUGAUUGGGCGUAAAGGGCGCGUAGGCGGCCCGGUAAGUCUGGUGUGAAAGUCCUGUUUUUAAGAUGGGAAUUGCUUUGGAUACUGUCGGGCUUGAGUGCAGGAGAGGUAAGUGGAAUUCCCAGUGUAGCGGUGAACUGCGUAGAGAUUGGGAGGAACACCAGUGGCGAAGGCGACUUACUGGACUGUAACUGACGCUGAGGCGCGAAAGUGUGGGGAGCAAACAGGAUUAGAUACCCUGGUAGUCCACACUGUAAACGAUGAAUGCUAGGUGUAGGGGGUAUCGACCCCUUCUGUGCCGCAGUCAACACAAUAAGCAUUCCGCCUGGGGAGUACGGCCGCAAGGUUGAAACUCAAAGGAAUUGACGGGG
Molecule: ribosomal RNA, 397 nt
Filed under: uncultured bacterium
Lineage: Bacteria
Description: partial 16S ribosomal RNA
Rfam family: Bacterial small subunit ribosomal RNA
Source: RNAcentral